GCCAGACUCCUACGGGAGGCAGCAGUGGGGAAUAUUGGACAAUGGGGGGAACCCUGAUCCAGCGACGCCGCGUGAGUGAAGAAGUAUUUCGGCAUGUAAAGCCCUAUCGGCAGGGAAGAAGCAAGACGGUACCUGACUAAGAAGCCCCGGCUAACUACGUGCCAGCAGCCGCGGUAAUACGUAGGGGGCAAGCGUUAUCCGGAUUUACUGGGGGUAAAGGGGGCGCAGACGGCAGCGCAAGCCAGGAGUGAAAGCCCGGGGCCCAACCCCGGGACUGCUCUUGGAACUGCGCGGCUGGAGUGCAGGAGGGGCAGGCGGAAUUCCUGGUGUAGCGGUGAAAUGCGUAGAUAUCAGGAGGAACACCGGUGGCGAAGGCGGCCUGCUGGACUGCGACUGACGUUGAGGCCCGAAAGCGUGGGGAGCAAACAGGAUUAGAUACCCGCGUACUG
This 449-nucleotide ribosomal RNA is filed under the name uncultured bacterium. RNAcentral's name for it is "bacterial SSU rRNA". It matches the Rfam family "Bacterial small subunit ribosomal RNA", at positions 330 to 793 of the family's 1533-position model. The record is from RNAcentral.